UCUCUCUCUCUCUCUCUGUCUGUCUCUUUCUGACCCCCGGCAUAUUUAGGAAACACUAAAGAGAAAAAUGAUAGUCACGACUUUGACAUUCCUUGAGAUCCUAGUUCCUUAGGCAAAACAUCUGUAUUCUUUCUCUUUUCAGAAAAUUAUUUUCCUGCUAGGUCUAGGGACUUUGGUUUGUAAGAGAGAUCAUCUGGGAGUAAUUAGGCUAUGUCUUGGGCCAGAAUUCUGUGGACCAUGAUAAUACUUAGAAUGAAAACCUAAAGCCUAUGAUAGGUCCUCAGCAUGAGAGUCUCUAAUGGCAACAUAGGACUCUAAGGUAUUUUCAAGAAAGGAUUUACUCUAUUCUGAAUAACAUGAAGUACAAGACACAUAUACAUGGAUUGGGGAAAUAUAAAGAUUUCCAAAAGCAAUAUGUAAUAUAUAUAAACAAUAAAAAUGGCCUUUAUAUAAGGAAUGAUUAUAAAACCCAUGUUUUGUUUUGUUUUUUAAUUCAGGAGUAUUGGCACAUAUUUAUAACCACAACACUGAGGAGGCAGAAAUAAGCAGAUCCCUGGAGCCUCACUGUCUAGCUGCCCAGCCUACUAUGCAAGUUCAAGCUAGUGAGAGACCCUAUCUCAACAAAAGGAUCCAACCCAAGAUGCAUUUAGUUGCCAUGUUACCUUAGUGUCUUGAAGUUUCCCAAUGCUUUCUUGUAUUUCAUGACAUCGAGCCUUUUGAAGUAAGAAAACAAACAGGCAAUAAGCAGCACCUGCACCAAUUGGAAGAAGAGCAGCCUCCAUGUGAACAGCCCUCGCUAGCAACAUCAACAGACCUUAUAGGAACAAAUGUCUCCCCCAACAGCUGGGAAAACAGGCACAGGCAAAACCCACACUAGAUGGAAAAACAGACUCCAUAGGCACAAGUAAAGCCCACACCAGCCAGAAGAUCUGGACGAUACCCUGGAUCUAGGCAUACAAACCCAUAUAAAUCUCAGCUGAUCUAACAACUGGACCUGACAACCAGCCAAUCAGCAGAACCCUUGGCCAUUCAGGCCAAAAGACAAUAAAGGAACAAAAGACCCAUCCAACAACAACAACAACAAAAGUUACAAGAAUCAAUACCUGUACCUAUAAUGAUCACAAACCCAGAUGGGUAAACAGCAGUGUAAGAAUACAUUCAACAACAUAAAGAACAAUAUGGCACCACCAGACCCUAGUGAUCCUACAACAGCAAGACCUGAACAUCCCAACACAGAUGAAACAGAAGAA
Peromyscus maniculatus bairdii (prairie deer mouse) is the source of this 1250-nucleotide long non-coding RNA. RefSeq lists it as uncharacterized. NCBI's taxonomy places the organism in Eukaryota, Metazoa, Chordata, Mammalia, Rodentia, Cricetidae. The record is from RefSeq and is a predicted model, not a curated record.